GUGUCAGCAGCCGCGGUAAUACGGAGGGGGCUAGCGUUGUUCGGAAUUACUGGGCGUAAAGGGCACGUAGGCUGGCUGUUAAGUCGGUGGUGAAAUCCCGAGGCUCAACCUCGGAAUUGCCUUCGAUACUGACGGUCUUGAGUGCGGGAGAGGUGAGUGGAAUUCCCAGUGUAGAGGUGAAAUUCGUAGAUAUUGGGAAGAACACCAGUGGCGAAGGCGGCUCACUGGCCCGCAACUGACGCUGAGGUGCGAAAGCGUGGGGAGCAAACAGGAUUAGAAACCCCCGUAGUCC
RNAcentral lists this ribosomal RNA (292 nucleotides) under uncultured bacterium. RNAcentral describes it as "partial 16S ribosomal RNA". It matches the Rfam family "Bacterial small subunit ribosomal RNA", at positions 505 to 796 of the family's 1533-position model. The record is from RNAcentral.